RNAcentral lists this ribosomal RNA (512 nucleotides) under Seimatosporium eucalypti. RNAcentral describes it as "eukaryotic LSU rRNA". The stretch from base 196 to 349 matches the Rfam family "5.8S ribosomal RNA". Lineage: Eukaryota; Fungi; Ascomycota; Sordariomycetes; Amphisphaeriales; Sporocadaceae. The record is from RNAcentral.
CAUUACAGAGUUAUCUAACUCCCAAACCCAUGUGAACUUACCAUUGUUGCCUCGGCAGAACCUACCCGGUACCUACCCUGUAACGAGCUACCCUGUAGCGAGUUGCCCGGAACCGUACUGUGGCGGGCGCCUGCCGGUGGACUUCUAAACUCUUGUUAUUUAUAGUAAUCUGAGCGUCUUAUUUUAAUAAGUCAAAACUUUCAACAACGGAUCUCUUGGUUCUGGCAUCGAUGAAGAACGCAGCGAAAUGCGAUACGUAAUGUGAAUUGCAGAAUUCAGUGAAUCAUCGAAUCUUUGAACGCACAUUGCGCCCAUUAGUACUCUAGUGGGCAUGCCUGUUCGAGCGUCAUUUCAACCCUUAAGCCUAGCUUAGUAUUGGCCGCCUACUGUAUUGUAGUGGCCCAAAUCCAACGGCGGAUCUGUGGUAUCCUCUGAGCGUAGUAAUUUUUAUCUCGCUUUUGUUAGGUGCUGCAGCUCCCAGCCGCUAAACCCCCCAAUUUUUAAUGGUUGAC